AAAGAUUAAGCCAUGCAUGUGUAAGCACAAGCCGAUUGAUGGCAAAGCCGCGAAUGGCUCAUUAUAACAGCCACUGUUCACUUGGUCCUACAUUAUCCAAUUGGAUAACUGUGGAAAUGCUAGAGCUAAUACACGCAACAAUGCUCCGACCUCGCGGGACGAGCGCAUUUAUUAGAACAAAACCAAUCGGGCCUCGCGUCCGUGCUUUGGUCACUCUGAAUAAACUAGCUGAUCGUACGGUCCUUGUACCGACGACGUACCAUACGAGUGUCUGCCUUAUCAACUUUCGAUGGUAGUUUCUGUGCCUACCAUGGUUGUAACGGGUAACGGAGAAUCAGGGUUCGACUCCGGAGAGGGAGCCUGAGAAACGGCUACCACAUCCAAGGAAGGCAGCAGGCGCGCAAAUUAUCCACUCUCAGUACGAGGAGAUAGUGACGAAAAAUAACAAGUCGGUUCUCAAUGAGGCCCGAUAUUGGAAUGGGUACAAUCUAAACCCUUUAACGAGGACCUAUGCGAGGGCAAGUGUGGUGCCAGCAGCCGCGGUAAUUCCAGCUCGCAAGGUGUAUAUCGUCAUUGCUGCGGUUAAAAAGCUCGUAGUUGGAUCUGCGCCUUCGGACCCGGUCCGUCCAAGCGGCGAGAACUGGGCUCCAAGGCUACUCUGCCGGUCUUCGCGCGGUGCUCUUCACCGGGUGCCGCGCGUGGCUGGCGCGUUUACUUUGAAGAAAUUAGAGUGCUCAGAACAAGCGUUUCGCUUGAAUAGUUGUGCAUGGAAUAAUGGAACAGGACCUCGGUCCGUUUUGUUGGUUUCGGAGCUGAGGUAAUGGUUAAGAGGGACGGACGGGGGCAUUCGUAUCGCUGCGUGAGAGGUGAAAUUCUUGGACCGUAGCGAGACGCCCAACUGCGAAAGCAUUUGCCAAGAAUGUCUUCAUUAAUCAAGAACGAAAGUCAGAGGUUCGAAGGCGAUCAGAUACCGCCCUAGUUCU
Molecule: ribosomal RNA, 983 nt
Filed under: Manunema proboscidis
Lineage: Eukaryota; Metazoa; Nematoda; Chromadorea; Plectida; Leptolaimidae
Description: SSU rRNA
Rfam family: Eukaryotic small subunit ribosomal RNA
Source: RNAcentral